GAUGAACGCUAGCGGCAGGCUUAAUACAUGCAAGUCGAGGGGCAGCACAGAUAGCAAUAUUGGGUGGCGACCGGCAAACGGGUGCGGAACACGUACACAACCUUCCUUUUAGUGUGGGAUAGCCCAGAGAAAUUUGGAUUAAUACCACAUAGUAUAUUGGAGUGGCAUCACUUUGAUAUUAAAGAUUUAUCGCUAAAAGAUGGGUGUGCGUAUGAUUAGGUAGUUGGUAGAGGUAACGGCUCACCAAGCCUUCGAUCAUUAACUGGUGUGGGGGAACGACCGGUCACACGGGAGCUGAGAAACGGCCCCGACUCCUACGGGAGGCAGCAGUAAGGAAUAUUGGUCAAUGGACGGAAGUCUGAACCAGCCAUGCCGCGUGAAGGAUGACGGCCCUCUGGGUUGUAAACUUCUUUUAUGUGGGACGAAAAAGGGCCAUUUUUGGUCAACUGACGGUACCAUAGGAAUAAGCACCGGCUAACUCCGUGCCAGCAGCCGCCGUAA
RNAcentral lists this ribosomal RNA (501 nucleotides) under uncultured bacterium. RNAcentral describes it as "partial 16S ribosomal RNA". It matches the Rfam family "Bacterial small subunit ribosomal RNA", at positions 28 to 523 of the family's 1533-position model. The record is from RNAcentral.